AUUGAACGCUGGCGGCAUGCCUAACACAUGCAAGUCGAACGGCAGCACGGCAGUAGCAAUACUGUGGGUGGCGAGUGGCGGACGGGUGAGGAAUACGUCGGAAUCUGCCCAGUCGUGGGGGAUAACUAGCCGAAAGGUUAGCUAAUACCGCAUACGACCGAGAGGUGAAAGCGGGGGACCGCAAGGCCUCGCGCGAUUGGAUGAGCCGACGUCGGAUUAGCUAGUUGGAGGGGUAAAGGCCCACCAAGGCGACGAUCCGUAGCUGGUCUGAGAGGAUGAUCAGCCACACUGGAACUGAGACACGGUCCAGACUCCUACGGGAGGCAGCAGUGGGGAAUAUUGGACAAUGGGCGCAAGCCUGAUCCAGCAAUGCCGCGUGUGUGAAGAAGGCCUCGGUGUAAGACGACUUUAUCUAGACGAAAGACG
RNAcentral lists this ribosomal RNA (426 nucleotides) under uncultured bacterium. RNAcentral's name for it is "bacterial SSU rRNA". It matches the Rfam family "Bacterial small subunit ribosomal RNA", at positions 29 to 454 of the family's 1533-position model. The record is from RNAcentral.